GAUGAACGCUGGCGGCGUGCCUAAUACAUGCAAGUCGAGCGAACAGACGAGGAGCUUGCUCCUCUGACGUUAGCGGCGGACGGGUGAAUAACACGUGGAUAACCUACCUAUAAGACUGGGAUAACUUCGGGAAACCAGAGCUAAUACCGGAUAAUAUAUUGAACCGCAUGGUUCAAUAGUGAAAGACGGUUUUGCUGUCACUUAUAGAUGGAUCCGCGCCGCAUUAGCUAGUUGGUAAGGUAACGGCUUACCAAGGCAACGAUGCGUAGCCGACCUGAGAGGGUGAUCGGCCACACUGGAACUGAGACACGGUCCAGACUCCUACGGGAGGCAGCAGUAGGGAAUCUUCCGCAAUGGGCGAAAGCCUGACGGAGCAACGCCGCGUGAGUGAUGAAGGUCUUCGGAUCGUAAAACUCUGUUAUUAGGGAAGAACAAAUGUGUAAGUAACUAUGCACGUCUUGACGGUACCUAAUCAGAAAGCCACGGCUAACUACGUG
RNAcentral lists this ribosomal RNA (497 nucleotides) under uncultured bacterium. RNAcentral describes it as "partial 16S ribosomal RNA". It matches the Rfam family "Bacterial small subunit ribosomal RNA", at positions 28 to 507 of the family's 1533-position model. The record is from RNAcentral.